GCAGUCGAGGGGUAACGAUGUCUUCGGACAGGCGACGACCGGCGCACGGGUGAGUAUCGCGUUUGUAACCUACCUCUAACUGGAGAAUAGCCCGAAGAAAUUCGGAUUAAUACUCCAUAAUACUAUGAUCUGGCAUCUUUUUAUAGUUAAAGCUCCGGCGGUUAGAGAUGGGCAUGCGUAACAUUAGCUAGUUGGUGAGGUAACAGCUCACCAAGGCUACGAUGUUUAGGGGGUCUGAGAGGAUGGUCCCCCACACUGGUACUGAGACACGGACCAGACUCCUACGGGAGGCAGCAGUGAGGAAUAUUGGUCAAUGGGCGCAAGCCUGAACCAGCCAUGCCGCGUGAAGGAUGACAGCCCUAUGGGUUGUAAACUUCUUUUGUACGGGAAGAAACACUUCUACGUGUAGAGGCUUGACGGUACCGUACGAAUAAGCAUCGGCUAACUCCGUGCCAGCAGCCGCGGUAAUACGGAGGAUGCAAGCGUUAUCCGGAUUUAUUGGGUUUAAAGGGUACGCAGGCGGAAAAUUAAGUCAGUGGUGAAAUCCUGCAGCUUAACUGUAGAACUGUCAUUGAUACUGGUUUUCUUGAAUAUGGUUGAGGUAGGCGGAAUGUGUAAUGUAGCGGUGAAAUGCUUAGAUAUUACACAGAACACCGAUUGCGAAGGCAGCUUACUAAGCCAUGAUUGACGCUGAGGUACGAAAGCGUGGGGAGCGAACAGGAUUAGAUACCCUGGUAGUCCACGCUGUAAAACGAUGAUUACUAGUUGUUGGCAAUACAUCGUCAGCGACUGAGCGAA
This 798-nucleotide ribosomal RNA is filed under the name uncultured Sphingobacteriia bacterium. Its description in RNAcentral is "bacterial SSU rRNA". It matches the Rfam family "Bacterial small subunit ribosomal RNA", at positions 57 to 855 of the family's 1533-position model. Lineage: Bacteria; Pseudomonadati; Bacteroidota; Sphingobacteriia. The record is from RNAcentral.